UCGGGAGGGCCCACAGUAGGGAAUCUUCCGCAAUGGACGAAAGUCUGACGGAGCAACGCCGCGUGAGUGAUGAAGGUUUUCGGAUCGUAAAGCUCUGUUGUUAGGGAAGAACAAGUACCGUUCGAAUAGGGCGGUACCUUGACGGUACCUAACCAGAAAGCCACGGCUAACUACGUGCCAGCAGCCGCGGUAAUACGUAGGUGGCAAGCGUUGUCCGGAAUUAUUGGGCGUAAAGGGCUCGCAGGCGGUUCCUUAAGUCUGAUGUGAAAGCCCCCGGCUCAACCGGGGAGGGUCAUUGGAAACUGGGGAACUUGAGUGCAGAAGAGGAGAGUGGAAUUCCACGUGUAGCGGUGAAAUGCGUAGAGAUGUGGAGGAACACCAGUGGCGAAGGCGACUCUCUGGUCUGUAACUGACGCUGAGGAGCGAAAGCGUGGGGAGCGAACAGGAUUAGAUACCCUGGUAGUCCACGCCGUAAACGAUGAGUGCUAAGUGUUAGGGGGUUUCCGCCCCUUAGUGCUGCAGCUAACGCAUUAAGCACUCCCCCCUGGGGGAGA
This 554-nucleotide ribosomal RNA is filed under the name Bacillus sp. (in: firmicutes). RNAcentral's name for it is "bacterial SSU rRNA". It matches the Rfam family "Bacterial small subunit ribosomal RNA", at positions 339 to 873 of the family's 1533-position model. The record is from RNAcentral. Lineage: Bacteria; Bacillati; Bacillota; Bacilli; Caryophanales; Bacillaceae.